This 253-nucleotide ribosomal RNA is filed under the name uncultured bacterium. RNAcentral describes it as "partial 16S ribosomal RNA". It matches the Rfam family "Bacterial small subunit ribosomal RNA", at positions 524 to 776 of the family's 1533-position model. The record is from RNAcentral.
UACGUAGGUGGCAAGCGUUGUCCGGAUUUACUGGGCGUAAAGAGCGCGCAGGCGGUCGUUCAAGUCGCGUGUGAAAGCCCCCGGCUCAACUGGGGAGGGUCACGCGAUACUGAUCGACUCGAAGGCAGGAGAGGGUAGUGGAAUUCCAGGUGUAGCGGUGAAAUGCGUAGAUAUCUGGAGGAACACCGGUGGCGAAGGCGGCCUGCUGGGCAGUUGCUGACACUGAGGCGCGACAGCGUGGGGAGCAAACAGG